This 2088-nucleotide long non-coding RNA is filed under the name Mus musculus (house mouse). RNAcentral describes it as "RIKEN cDNA A230001M10 gene". Lineage: Eukaryota; Metazoa; Chordata; Mammalia; Rodentia; Muridae. The record is from RNAcentral.
ACUGGUCAGAUAUACUCACGGAGGGCUGCUGUCACCUGUCAUCACUGCUGGACAGAUGAUUUCAACACAGACAUUACAAGUGGUCCAGCCUCUUCAUAAGCCUGCACUAAAGACACUGAAGCUUGUGAUCACCCGUGUCAGGACAAGGAAUGGCAUCUCCCUAACAGGACUCAAGAGCCUUUGCCAUUAUCUGUGGUAUUAAGCAGGUUUCAAUUAGGAUUUUAGGUGGAUUUUUUUCUUUGUUCCGCAGAAGUUUUAAUCAAGGCAGAAAAACUCUGACGCCUCAUUCUCCUCACAACAGUCAGUCACCAAAGCGUUGCAUUUUUCUUCCUGAAGCUUCCCCUCCCUCGGGCACAUUUUUAGCAAAAAAGAUGAGAUCCCAAGCUCUCCAGAUGUUGCCUCUCAGAUGUGCCUCAGCACGCAUCUCAGAGCCAUCUGGCCGCAGCAACAGCUGGACUGCUUCCAAGUGGAAGUGCUCACAGAUCUAGCUGUCCUGGGCUGCCUUUCUCCACGGUAGCAGGCAGAGGGAGCCAAGCAGAGAUGGGAGCUCUAGGAGAUUUUCCCACUGAUGCCCCUAGGCACCCCAGUCCUGGGCAGCCUCUUCUCAGACUGCCAAGGAGCCACCAUUGCAACUGAUGGCCUCGUCCUGUGAGAACAACCAUGCGUCAGGCACUGGCUAUACGGACUGAGAAGCUGAAAACUGAUCAGAGUCAAGCUGAGCCUAUUGACCGCUUUCCAUGUCCACAGAGAUAAACACGAACAAACCUAAGAUAAAACCCCACUGAGUGCACUUCCCUGGGACCAUUUCGAGAGCUUCCGACCUCUGGGAACACAUAUGUGAGCCAGCAGGAUGGCCACAUCACCCACAGGGCAGUGUAGAGGUGGAUGCCAAACGCAGAGAAACUGAGUCAUAAAUGCCUGUAACUCUUCCUGUGGGUGUGAGGAUCCUAUCUCUCAACCCAGCUUGAAUGGGAUUUGUUUCUGCAACUGGAAUAAUCUUAAAUUAUCCAUUCUGACACCAGAGACUCAGCACUUUCAGGCAAAUAUGAAUCUAGGUGCUUCUGGAAAGGUCCUCCGUGUACUGCUUAAUCUCUCCAGCCAAUAGACAUCAACAGUCUAAACAACGGGAAAGUCUCGAGGUCCCGAGAGCAGAACUGAAAUUCGUCGGAGGAAGAGCUCUUCAAGGCUCAUCAAACAAAGGGCACGCUCAUCUUGCACGAGGAAAAGAGGGCCGCUUCUGAUACAUCUGGUGAAUUCAUCUGUUGUCAGAGAAGGUGCAGCCAAGGGUCCAGAGGAAUGACCUUCUCUAGGCUCUUUCUGCAAACUGUCUGCGUUUUAUCAAUGGUCUUGACUUCAUAAAACAAAACAGCAUGAGAGGCAGUUAUCCAAGCGCGUGAGCUUCCAACUGUCAGGAUACAGACAGGCAAGAGUCCUGGAGGCAAGCAGCCUGUGACCUCAGACAUAGGAGGCCCUCAGAUUCAUUUGCUUCGGGUGUUGAAAUCAAGCAAGAAAGCAGUUACUGUUGAGUGUUAGUGCUAUUCCAACCUCAAUGAGAUUUUAUCUAUGGGGAGAAAGAUUAGGGGAGACCAAAUUUAUUGUCAUUCAGAGGAAGUAUUUAUAAACUUGGCAGAGUCUCAUGCGAGAGAGUAGAACAAAGGCUGCCAAACAGAUUCAUAAAUCGAAACGAAUGACCUGAAAGUAUUUUCCGCUGCAUACACGUGGUUCUAUAUGCACUGUGCCGCUCCAGCUCAGCACUGGAUUGCCCUGUGUGGUGCUGAUGUUGCUAUCUCCGUUGUAGGCAUGGGGUAGGGUGGGGAAGCUUGAAAUCGUACCAGCUAAAAUCAGGACAGAGCAGAAAGGAUGCUGUGAGGACAAGGCUGCUGUCAGUGUAGACUGUUCCUGAGCUGUUGCAGAGAAAAUAACAAGGGUAACGCUGGGGGAAAAACUGCAAGUGGGCUAGAUCUGACUGGGGAGAACAUAAAAGAAAGAAUAACAGCAUAAAAUAAAAGGAUGUGGUAGGAUGAUGAAGGAAAUUGACCUGCAAAGCAUAUGGGCCUGAUUUUGCUAAUAAAGUUUUAUUGGAAACAA